AGCGGGGUAGAGGAGUAGUACCUCGCCAGCCCCAUAAGCUGGAGAACGUGGGUGCAAUUCCCACCCCCGCAACCA
Molecule: transfer RNA, 75 nt
Filed under: Candidatus Parcubacteria bacterium
Lineage: Bacteria; Candidatus Parcubacteria
Description: tRNA-Met
Rfam family: tRNA
About the family: Transfer RNA (tRNA) molecules are approximately 80 nucleotides in length. Their secondary structure includes four short double-helical elements and three loops (D, anti-codon, and T loops). Further hydrogen bonds mediate the characteristic L-shaped molecular structure. tRNAs have two regions of fundamental functional importance: the anti-codon, which is responsible for specific mRNA codon recognition, and the 3' end, to which the tRNAs corresponding amino acid is attached (by aminoacyl-tRNA synthetases). tRNAs cope with the degeneracy of the genetic code in two manners: having more than one tRNA (with a specific anti-codon) for a particular amino acid; and 'wobble' base-pairing, i.e. permitting non-standard base-pairing at the 3rd anti-codon position.
Source: RNAcentral